This 405-nucleotide ribosomal RNA is filed under the name Triticum aestivum (bread wheat). RNAcentral's name for it is "partial small subunit ribosomal RNA". Lineage: Eukaryota; Viridiplantae; Streptophyta; Magnoliopsida; Poales; Poaceae. The record is from RNAcentral.
AUGAGGAACAUCAAUCAAAGUGCAGGACUUUGCAAUGGGACAAGACUAACAAUAACACAGCUAGGAAAGUGUUUCAUCGAAGGCCAGGUCAUAACAGGUACUAACAUUGGUGAUAAAGUUUACAUCCCACGAAUUAUUAUCUCACCAAGUGAUUCAAAAUGGCCUUUCAUUCUGAAAAGGAGACAAUACCCAAUAUCAGUGUGCUUUGCUAUGACAAUAAACAAAAGUCAGGGGCAAUCUCUCAAAAAGGUUGGACUCUACUUAGAAAGGCAAGUGUUCACACAUGGCCAACUCUAUGUUGCAAUGUCAAGGGUUACCAGCAGAAAUGGAUUGCGGAUACUUAUAUCAGAUGAAGAGCGUCCAUCCGACAAGGUUGCAAAAAACAUUGUUUACAAGGAUAUAUGA